RNAcentral lists this unclassified non-coding RNA (347 nucleotides) under soil metagenome. RNAcentral describes it as "partial contains 5.8S ribosomal RNA, internal transcribed spacer 2, and large subunit ribosomal RNA". The stretch from base 1 to 120 matches the Rfam family "5.8S ribosomal RNA", at positions 35 to 154 of the family's 154-position model. The record is from RNAcentral.
GAUGAAGAACGCAGCGAAAUGCGAUAAGUAAUAUGAAUUGCAGAAUUCAGUGAAUCAUCGAGUCUUUGAACGCACAUUGCGCCCCCUGGUAUUCCGGGGGGCAUGCCUGUCCGAGCGUCAUUGCUGCCCUCAAGCACGGCUUGUGUGUUGGGCCGUCGUCCCCCUCCUAGGGGACGGGCCCGAAAGGCAGCGGCGGCACCGCGUCCGGUCCUCGAGCGUAUGGGGCUUCGUCACCCGCUCCGUAGGCCCGGCCGGCGCUUGCCGACGACCAUCAAUCUCUUUCUCCAGGUUGACCUCGGAUCAGGUAGGGAUACCCGCUGAACUUAAGCAUAUCAAUAAGCGGAGGA